GAGAACCCGGAGCGCCAGCUUCGGGGGAGGCGUCGGUGGGAUACUACCCUGGUUGUAUUGAACUUCUAACCCACAAGCCUUAGCGGCUUGGGAGACAGUGUCAGGCGGGCAGUUUGACUGGGGCGGUCGCCUCCUAAAGAGUAACGGAGGCGCUCAAAGGUUCCCUCAGAAUGGUUGGAAAUCAUUCGCAGAGUGUAAAGGCACAAGGGAGCUUGACUGCGAGACGGACAGGUCGAGCAGGGUCGAAAGACGGACUUAGUGAUCCGGUGGUUCCGCAUGGAAGGGCCAUCGCUCAACG
RNAcentral lists this ribosomal RNA (298 nucleotides) under Streptococcus pneumoniae. Its description in RNAcentral is "partial 23S ribosomal RNA". It matches the Rfam family "Bacterial large subunit ribosomal RNA", at positions 2157 to 2454 of the family's 2925-position model. Lineage: Bacteria; Bacillati; Bacillota; Bacilli; Lactobacillales; Streptococcaceae. The record is from RNAcentral.